RNAcentral lists this ribosomal RNA (375 nucleotides) under uncultured bacterium. Its description in RNAcentral is "bacterial SSU rRNA". It matches the Rfam family "Bacterial small subunit ribosomal RNA", at positions 524 to 898 of the family's 1533-position model. The record is from RNAcentral.
UACGUAGGGAGCAAGCGUUGUCCGGAUUUACUGGGUGUAAAGGGUGCGUAGGCGGCAAAGCAAGUCAGGUGUGAAAUGUAUGGGCUUAACCCAUGAACUGCACUUGAAACUGUUUAGCUUGAGUGAAGUAGAGGCAGGCGGAAUUCCCGGUGUAGCGGUGAAAUGCGUAGAGAUCGGGAGGAACACCAGUGGCGAAGGCGGCCUGCUGGGCUUUAACUGACGCUGAGGCACGAAAGCAUUGGUAGCAAACAGGAUUAGAUACCCUGGUAGUCCAUGCUGUAAACGAUGAUUACUAGGUGUGGGUGGACUGACCCCAUCCGUGCCGGAGUUAACACAAUAAGUAAUCCACCUGGGAAGUACGACCGCAAGGUUGAA